Oncorhynchus keta (chum salmon) is the source of this 1675-nucleotide long non-coding RNA. RefSeq lists it as uncharacterized. Lineage: Eukaryota; Metazoa; Chordata; Actinopteri; Salmoniformes; Salmonidae. The record is from RefSeq and is a predicted model, not a curated record. The transcript is spliced from 6 exons.
AAUCACUUUACAGUAAAACAAUCAUUUACAACUAUAAUACGUAUAAAAAAUAUAUUUUCCUGGCAGGGCGUUCCAUAGCUGUGGGGAUCUGAUAAAGGAUUCUACUUUUGCUUCUACACCUUAGAUACCCCUCGACCUUUUCCACUUUGUGUUUACAGCCUUAAUUUAAAAUGGAUUACAUUGUUGUUGUUUUUCUCACCAAUCUACACCCCAAAAUGACAAAGUGAAAACAUGUUUUUUAGAAAUCUGCUAAUUUAUUGACAAUGAAAUACAGAAAUAUCUUAAUUGACAUAAAUAUUCACACCUCUGAGUCAAUACAUGUUAGUAUCACCUGUGGCAGUGCUUAUAGCUGUGAGUCUUUCUGGGUACGUCUCUAAGAGUUUAACACCUGGAUUGAACAACAUUUACAGAUAAUUAUUUUAAAAAUUCUUUAAGAUCUGUUAAGUUGGUUGUUGAUCAUUGCUAGAAAACCACUGUUUUACGGCUGUAACACCAGGUAUUGUUCUAGACCAGCUUCUUGGCUGUAACACCAGGUAUUGUUCUAGACCAGCUCCUUGGUUGUAACACCAGGUAUUGUUCUAGACCAGCUCCUUGGUUGUAACACCAGGUAUUGUUCUAGACCAGCUCCUUGGUUGUAACACCAGGUAUUGUUCUAGACCAGCUCCUUGGUUGUAACACCAGGUAUUGUUCUAGACCAGCUCCUUGGUUGUAACACCAGGUAUUGUUCUAGACCAGCUCCUUGGUUGUAACACCAGGUAUUGUUCUAGACCAGCUCCUUGGUUGUAACACCAGGUAUUGUUAUAGACCAGCUCCUUGGUUGUAACACCAGGUAUUGUUCUAGACCAGCUCCUUGGUUGUAACACCAGGUAUUGUUCUAGACCAGCUCCUUGGUUGUAACACCAGGUAUUGUUCUAGACCAGCUCCUUGGUUGUAACACCAGGUAUUGUUAUAGACCAGCUCCUUGGUUGUAACACCAGGUAUUGUUGUAGACCAGCUCCUUGGUUGUAACACCAGGUAUUGUUAUAGACCAGCUCCUUGGUUGUAACACCAGGUAUUGUUAUAGACCAGCUCCUUGGUUGUAACACCAGGUAUUGUUAUAGACCAGCUCCUUGGUUGUAACACCAGGUAUUGUUAUAGACCAGCUCCUUGGUUGUAACACCAGGUAUUGUUCUAGACCGGCUCCUUGGUUGUAACACCAGGUAUUGUUCUAGACCGGCUCCUUGGUUGUAACACCAGGUAUUGUUAUAGACCAGCUCCUUGGUUGUAACACCAGGUAUUGUUAUAGACCAGCUCCUUGGUUGUAACACCAGGUAUUGUUCUAGACCAGCUCCUUGGUUGUAACACCAGGUAUUGUUAUAGACCAGCUCCUUGGUUGUAACACCAGGUAUUGUUAUAGACCAGCUCCUUGGUUGUAACACCAGGUAUUGUUAUAGACCAGCUCCUUGGUUAUAACACCAGGUAUUGUUAUAGACCAGCUCCUUGGUUGUAACACCAGGUAUUGUUGUAGACCAGCUCCUUGGUUGUAACACCAGGUAUUGUUCUAGACCAGCUCCUUGGUUGUAACACCAGGUAUUGUUGUAGACCAGCUCCUUGGUUGUAACACCAGGUAUUGUUCUAGACCAGCUCCUUGGUUGUAACACCAGGUAUUGUUCUAGACCGGCUCCUUGGUUGUAAC